UCAAACAAGGCAUAUGAUUUCUAAAAAUUUUAAUUUAUUUGAUUAGUCUGGAUUUUUAUUACUAUGCAAUGCAAUCUCUUUUUUUAAGGUGCAAAGGAAAAGUUACAACAGCAAGAGAAGAGAGUUACUCCCUCUCAUACACCACACCUAACGUAUCAGCUACAAUCAACUGCCUCAUCUGGACAGGAAAUUCACCUGGUGCACCUUUGAUCAGCAGGUCCACUGCUUUCUAGCAAUCUGUUUCUACUUGGAUCUCCCUCCACCCUUUCUCAAACAUGAUGGUCAACCCUCCAUAGCUUGGUUUGGGAGGCUUUUUGGCUUUUUUGGCUAUUUUAACCUAGGGCUAAAAAGUUUGAUUUGGGAAGAGAUUUUGGCUUUUUUGACUUUUUUGAUUUUUUUGUAAGAGAAAGAAUGUAAUGAUUAUAGAUUUGAUGUGAUUGUUUGCCUUAUUGGGCUAAAAAGCCUAUUUUGUUUUUUUGUGGCUAUUUUAGCCAAAAAAACCACAAAACCUUCUUCCCAAACAUAAGCUAUAUAUUCCCUA
This is a non-coding RNA of Camellia sinensis, 541 nucleotides long. NCBI's taxonomy places the organism in Eukaryota, Viridiplantae, Streptophyta, Magnoliopsida, Ericales, Theaceae. The record is from RefSeq and is a predicted model, not a curated record.